GGUAUAUUAUUCAUCCUUCCAAAUCAAGAAACUUCAAGAAAGAAAGAAAAGAAGAAGAAGAGAGGGCCAUUCGGCCAUAGCUCCAAAAAUUGGGGUCAUAGAAAUUGAUCAAGAAAAAUUAUUUUCUUCUAGUAUUUCAACUAAUUGGAAGGUCCUCAUUAACAUGAAGGAGUUGUUGGAGUAAGCCAAGCACUAAUUUGGGUGAUUUACAAACCCUAGCCAAGUAAGAAGACAAGUGGAGGAAGACUAGCGAUAACGAGCUUGGACAAUUAAGCGUAGCUAAUAGGGCAUGAAACAGGUACACCCAGAUGAAUAGAAGCUAUUAUAGAAGAUGGUUCAGCGGAGUUGGCAAGCUCCAUUUGCUCUGGAGUGUUGCCGGGUCAGAGUACUACGCUAUGAAGUCUGGUUCGAAGUUAGAGACUUUGCAGACAGAGUCGGGGUAUAGUAUGUCAGUCUUGUAAGCGGCUUCACCAGCCGAUGUGUCUUUAUUUAUUAUGUCACAGAUUCCACAUGGUCACAGAUUUUGUUUGAUUUGAGAACAACGAAAAAGAAUAUUUCUGGAAGUUCCUAAUAUGCAUUCCAUUUUAUUUAAGAUAGAAGUCUAAAGAGAUUAAGUAUGUAAUAAGAAUCAGCGGGUAAGGUUGGGGUGUGACACAAACAAGUUGUAAAUGAUUAUGAA
Lycium barbarum (goji berry) is the source of this 679-nucleotide long non-coding RNA. RefSeq lists it as uncharacterized. The record is from RefSeq and is a predicted model, not a curated record. Lineage: Eukaryota; Viridiplantae; Streptophyta; Magnoliopsida; Solanales; Solanaceae. The transcript is spliced from 3 exons.